GAUGAAGAACGCAGCGAAAUGCGAUAAGUAAUGUGAAUUGCAGAAUUCAGUGAAUCAUCGAAUCUUUGAACGCACAUUGCGCCCGCCAGCACUCUGGCGGGCAUGCCUGUCCGAGCGUCAUUUCAACCCUCAGGGCCCCUUCGGGGGACCUGGCGUUGGGGAUCGGCCCGCCCCCGUGCGGCGCCGUCCCCGAAAUCUAGUGGCGGUCUCGCUGUAGCUUCCUCUGCGUAGUAGCAACACUCGCACUGGAUCGCAGCGCGGCCACGCCGUUAAACCCCCCACUUCUGAAAGUUUGACCUCGGAUCAGGUAGGAAUACCCGCUGAACUUAAGCAUAUCAAUAAGCGGAGGA
RNAcentral lists this unclassified non-coding RNA (350 nucleotides) under soil metagenome. Its description in RNAcentral is "partial contains 5.8S ribosomal RNA, internal transcribed spacer 2, and large subunit ribosomal RNA". The stretch from base 1 to 120 matches the Rfam family "5.8S ribosomal RNA", at positions 35 to 154 of the family's 154-position model. The record is from RNAcentral.